RNA transcript from Achroia grisella, 2435 nucleotides. It is a transcript of the gene named probable G-protein coupled receptor Mth-like 3, with no coding region annotated. Lineage: Eukaryota; Metazoa; Arthropoda; Insecta; Lepidoptera; Pyralidae. The record is from RefSeq and is a predicted model, not a curated record. The transcript has 10 exons.
CGCGUCAGACGUCUGCUGUCCCAAACCACGUGGCUCAAAUCACGACAUAGUAAACAAAAAUUCGCGAGUGACAGUAUUGAUAGUGAUACAGUUAAAACGAGUUCUGUGCACGACCUACGUCGUUGUGGUUAAUACCCGUGAUUGCCACUUUUUAUGAACAUUUAAUUUAACAGUAUGACUGUGAUACCUUUGUAAUUAAGUUCGCGGAACGAUGAACCAGUAAAAAAGUCAACAUGCUCGCUAGAGUGACAAUAGUGGCGGCGCUUAUUACCGGGACAAUUGCUGUAGGACUCGACGUUUGUGAUGUUAAAAACAGUGUGGACUUAAGUGGUGGUAUUAAGAUGCCCAAUGGAGAUAUACACCUAAAGGGUAUUGUAUACGAAGGGAAGAACUAUUAUUUCGACAACAUCACCGGUGUGGAUAGAGGCUGUAUUUGUUCAAAGCGAUUAUGUAUCAGAAAAUGUUGCCCGCCCGGUCAAGGAUAUAAUAUUAAUAAAAGAGCCUGUACGACCGUUACACAUGUGUUUGAUCCUCCCAUAUGGAACAGCCUUAGAAGAAUCGAGGGUGCAAAAGCUGAAAACUUAUUUCACUUUGUUUACGAAACUCAGAUAUGUGGAAACAAUACGGCUAGGAUCCGUGUUAAAAGAAUAACAAGGCACAUACAUCUAAAAGUAGAUGGAAACCUGUUCAUCGAGUUGUCUAACAACAUUCCCCCGUACACGCUACGAGAACCCGACAAGUACUGCAUUGACACAUUCGUCUCCGAAGAUGCUAAUGGUGUGAAAGAAGCCAAUGUUGAUGCGUUGGUCUGUUUCGCUGAUGAAUCUGGAGGCCAUCAUUAUGCUGUGAGCAGUACUUGUAUGCUAAUCUCCUGCGUGUUCAUAUUGGCCACGUGUGGGGUCUACGCCUGGUUGCCGGAGCUACGUAACUUACACGGCAGGGUCCUGAUGGCGUACCUUCUCUGCAUGUUUGUGGCGUUUUCAUUUAUGGCCACCAUGCAGAUUCUACUGCCGUUAAACGUGAUCACCAUAUCGUACUGCCUUGCAAUGACCUUCAUCAUCUACUUCUCCCUGGAAUCAGGAUUCUUUUGGCUCAACGUAAUGUGCUUCGACAUUUGGUGGACUUUCAGUGGAAAACGUGGUAUUACGUUCGAGAAAUUAUCAACCAAGGCACGAUUCUACGCGUACGCUCUUUAUGCGUUUGGGAUACCAACUGCGUUAACGAUACUGUUGGCAGCGUUGGAGUUCUCAAACCUACCAUUGCACCCUUUACUACCUCAGCUGAGACAACAAGGCUGCUUUAUACAUGGCAAUGCCAGACUUAUAUACCUGUACGGACCUCUCGUAAUACUGUGUAUUGCAAACCUCAUAUUUUUCGUACUGACUGCGCUGAAAAUCGCGCAAAUCAAGAAACAAACCUCCGUACUGAAGUCCAAAGAGAGCUCUACACACGACAGUCAAAGAAAUGAUAAACAAAGAUUGUCCCUCUAUAUCAAGCUGUUUGUCGUGAUGGGUAUAAGCUGGCUGCUCGAAGUUAUUAGCGCUAUUUACCCUGAGUUAGACGACUUCUGGAUAUUCACCGAUGGUUACAACGUUCUCUUAGGCUUGAUCAUUUUCAUAAUAUUCGUCUGCAAAAGGAAAAUAUUCAGGCUUAUUAAAAAGAGGAUCAAAGACAAAUUUCAACGACGCAACAGUGAAGUUGGAAAUUUAACGAUAAUUAAUAAGAAUUUAAAUAACUCGAAACAAAACCGUGAUAUUAGAACAAGUGAUGAGACGAUAAGAACGACAUGUGGACAGGAUUCAGAUAGUAUUAAAAUAGCUCAUUUAUAGAAAAUAUUAUAAUAUAGUAGGAUAUUCAAAACAUUAAAAUAUUUUAGCUAUAUCUUGUUUCGUUAUUUCUGUUAUAUCGAAAAACUUUAUGGCUUUUUGACAAGAUUUCAAUAAAUUCAUAAAUUGAGGUAUUAACAAGACAGUACUCACUAAAAUCUGAGAUUAUUGAAAGAAGAUCUACCCCAGUGUUGAUACCAGAUGUUUAAUACUCAGUGAAGAAAUAAUAAAAGAAAAUUACUAGGAUAUUAAGAGAAUCUCAUAUGUGAGAUCUUUAUCUCAGACAAUACAAUGAAAUGAAUUAGAGAGAAAGAUGAUUUUUAAGAAUAAGAUUAUUCAAUCCAUACACACCUUAAGAAAACAUAAUCUUGAAUUCUGAAAUGUGAUAAUCCUGAAAUAAUAAUAAUUACAUAAUAGAGAUUGGAUACGAUAAAGAGUACAGUAGUCUAGCAAUAUAAUAUUGAUAGAACAUGCAUAUUAGAAAAGAACCUAAGAAACAAUGGACGUUGCCACUACGAGAUACAAGCAACUGCGAGGCGAUCCGAUGUCCAGGACCCAAACAACGAUGUCCUCGCGCACAGCAUCCACGAGAGAUGAUAUGCAGAUGAA